GGUGACAGAGCGAGACUCCGUCUCUUUUUCUUUUUUUUUUUUUUUUUUUUUUUUUUCAAAAAAAAAAAAAAAAAAAAAAAAAAGAAAAAGAGACGGAGUCUCGCUCUGUCACC
RNAcentral lists this microRNA precursor (113 nucleotides) under Chlorocebus sabaeus (green monkey). RNAcentral's name for it is "MIR7504 microRNA precursor family". It matches the Rfam family "MIR7504 microRNA precursor family". Lineage: Eukaryota; Metazoa; Chordata; Mammalia; Primates; Cercopithecidae. The record is from Rfam by way of RNAcentral.